This is a non-coding RNA of Brachypodium distachyon (stiff brome), 247 nucleotides long. NCBI's taxonomy places the organism in Eukaryota, Viridiplantae, Streptophyta, Magnoliopsida, Poales, Poaceae. The record is from RefSeq and is marked provisional.
UUUUUACUCCAUCCAACAACAAGGGACGUGUUAGCUUUUGUUUGACCAAUACUUUGAUCAUAAAUUACUGUAUUAAUAAAUAAUUAUAUGACAUAGAUUCAUAUCCAUUGUAUUCCUACUCAAGAAUAUUUGCUUAUGGCUAUGAUUUUGAUCACGUUAGUCACAUAUUCUUGAAGUAAUUUGUGGUCAAAGGCUUGGUCAACUGAAAGCUAAUAUGUUUUCUAUUGUUGGACGGAAGGAAUAUAAG